Molecule: ribosomal RNA, 703 nt
Filed under: Streptomyces ambofaciens
Lineage: Bacteria; Bacillati; Actinomycetota; Actinomycetes; Kitasatosporales; Streptomycetaceae
Description: bacterial SSU rRNA
Rfam family: Bacterial small subunit ribosomal RNA
Source: RNAcentral
GCUGGCGGCGUGCUUAACACAUGCAAGUCGAACGAUGAACCACUUCGGUGGGGAUUAGUGGCGAACGGGUGAGUAACACGUGGGCAAUCUGCCCUGCACUCUGGGACAAGCCCUGGAAACGGGGUCUAAUACCGGAUACUGAUCCGCUUGGGCAUCCAGGCGGUUCGAAAGCUCCGGCGGUGCAGGAUGAGCCCGCGGCCUAUCAGCUUGUUGGUGAGGUAACGGCUCACCAAGGCGACGACGGGUAGCCGGCCUGAGAGGGCGACCGGCCACACUGGGACUGAGACACGGCCCAGACUCCUACGGGAGGCAGCAGUGGGGAAUAUUGCACAAUGGGCGCAAGCCUGAUGCAGCGACGCCGCGUGAGGGAUGACGGCCUUCGGGUUGUAAACCUCUUUCAGCAGGGAAGAAGCGCAAGUGACGGUACCUGCAGAAGAAGCGCCGGCUAACUACGUGCCAGCAGCCGCGGUAAUACGUAGGGCGCGAGCGUUGUCCGGAAUUAUUGGGCGUAAAGAGCUCGUAGGCGGCUUGUCGCGUCGGUUGUGAAAGCCCGGGGCUUAACCCCGGGUCUGCAGUCGAUACGGGCAGGCUAGAGUUCGGUAGGGGAGAUCGGAAUUCCUGGUGUAGCGGUGAAAUGCGCAGAUAUCAGGAGGAACACCGGUGGCGAAGGCGGAUCUCUGGGCCGAUACUGACGCUGAGGAGC